RNAcentral lists this long non-coding RNA (2234 nucleotides) under Carassius auratus (goldfish). RNAcentral's name for it is "lncRNA (ENSCARG00000006675.1)". Lineage: Eukaryota; Metazoa; Chordata; Actinopteri; Cypriniformes; Cyprinidae. The record is from RNAcentral.
GUCAACGUUAUAAACCAGUAAACUCUAGAAAACGAACAUCGUCUUCAAGUGGUCAGAUGCUGUUUUAGUUUCGAUUUGAGGGUGUUUAUCUACUUUCUGUGAGUUACACUAAGUAGAGCGGUUAUGUUUGCAAUACAGAAACGUUAGGUGGAGACACGUCCAUUUGAUGCAGGAUGUCCUUUAUAUAAAGCGAAACAACUUUCCACACACACACAAGAAACCAAAUCUGCUGCUAACAGACUCGCGACGGAUGCUAGUGCUAGCAUCAGUGUUGCGGGUGUGUUAUAAACAACAGAGAGGGUCAUUACUGUCACUGCACACGUGUAUUAAUCUUUAUUAUCGUGUAGCAUGACAUCCUCGACACAUUUGAUGAUCUUUAUUUGAUGUGUGUGGUGUUAUAAACUCGGAGGCAUCGGCUAAGUCGCGUCUUUGUGUCAUUUUUCUUAGUAAUGAACGCAGACGUAUUUACCGGUGUGUUUGGCUUAAGUUACUGCAAACAGUUUCAGUCCCGUGUUUCAGACACAAAUGAUUCCUCAUCAUGUGUUCCCGUGUGCUGCUGAGGAUAGACGUGCUGUUAUUUAAAGUGACCAGACUUAUGGUUUCACCUGCUUGACGAUGAAUCGAGUGAAAAGUCCGUCUGAAACAUUUCUACAGACCAGAAUAUGACAGAGCCUGCGUCACAAUGUGCAUAAUAUCGAUCCAAAAUUUUAUGUGAUUAGUAAUUUUCAAUAUUAUUUAUGGCAGAUAGGGUGGAUAGUAUGCACAUUGGGACGCAGGCAGAUACUUUUUCAUAUCAGUCAUGUGGGGUCUUUUGACCAGUAAACAUCCACCCACUCAGAGCACACAGAGUAGGAACUAACAUUAACCAUUACUCGCACACUAACCUGUAUUUGAUAUUGAUUUUUGCUACUAAAAUUAAAAGGACGAGUUGUAUCGUUGGAUAACACUCCUUCACUCCAUCACUCAUGUUGUGUUUCCUGAUCCUCAGAUGGCCUUACACAGCUGGAACUGGAGCAGAUAUCUUGAGCUGUCAACAUUUCUCUGAUCUUUCCAAUUGUCAUUGGAAACUUCAGAUGCAGAAGAUCACGACUGCAGUGACAAUCCACAGAGAUCCAACAACAGCAGAAACCAGCACUAUCAGAGAUACAGAGACUGGAGGAACUGAAGAAGAGUAAAAGAGAGACAGUCAUGAAUGUCUUGUAGACGUGCUGGUCCACGCUUCCUACAAGUGGGUGGCGGUAAUGCUCCAGCUCGUUUGUCAACCGCCACUAAACCGAAGAAGAAGAAGAAGAAGAAGAAGAAGAAGAAGAAGAAGAAGAAGAAGUAGAAGUAGAGGUACUAGUCAGACAGUUUAUUAGUUUCGUUUCUGAGGCUGUGUUUAUCUGCUUUCUCUGGCGGUUUUUAGGUUUACAACACCGACACAUUAGGUGGAGACACAUUCAUUUGAUGAUGGAUGCUAUUUACUUAAAACGCAACAACAUGACAGCUUUGCAGACCAACAAUCACAAAAGACAAACAAACACAAACAGACGAAAAGAUCCCUAGCAGACGGAUCUGAACGGAUGCUAGUGUUGUGGCGGGUGUGUUAUAAACAGUAGAGAGGGUUAUUUAGUGUCACUGCACACGUGUAUUAAUGUUUUAUUAUCAUGCAGCAUGAAAUACUCGACACAUUUGAUGCUCUUUAUUUGACUGUAAGACUGUUUUAUGUGACCACCGCUCAUGUUUGCGUGACGUCAUAAAACCGGGCGGCAUCGCUGUACCCCAGGAGGGGUGUACAUAGCGCCCUUGUGUCACUUUUAAAAAGUGUGACAACUUUACCGCAAAGUUUCAGUGUGUUCCAGACACGAAUGAUUCAUGUGUUCCCUUGUGUUGCUGAGGAGGGGUGUGCUGUUAUUUAAAGUGACCAGACUUAUGUUUUUCGAGGAGGAAUCAGGUGAAAAGUCCCUCCGAGACAUAUCUACAGACCAGAAUAUGACAGAGAAUUUAUCAUAUCAGUCAUGUGGGCUCUUCUGACCAGUAAACAACACAAACAGUUACACAGAGCACACUAGCAGCAGAAGUGAAGCUACAGGUUUUCAGCUGUGGCCCACCCAGUAAGUUAUUUAUCAAAACUAAGAUAAUAUAUAUAAAUGUAUAGUUUCACUGUAACGUCAUAUAAUUAUAUACUUUAAAAUAUAUUUAAUGUGAGAUUUCAUGGUCAAUUCUGGGCAGUUAUUAAUUUUCCCUACAGUACA